Molecule: ribosomal RNA, 434 nt
Filed under: uncultured bacterium
Lineage: Bacteria
Description: partial 16S ribosomal RNA
Rfam family: Bacterial small subunit ribosomal RNA
Source: RNAcentral
AGCGAACGCUGGCGGCUGGCCUAACACAUGCAAGUCGAACGAACCUUUCGGGGUUAGUGGCGGACGGGUGAGUAACACGUGGGAACGUGCCUUUAGGUUCGGAAUAACUCAGGGAAACUUGUGCUAAUACCGAAUGUGCCCUUCGGGGGAAAGAUUUAUCGCCUUUAGAGCGGCCCGCGUCUGAUUAGCUAGUUGGUUGAGGUAAUGGCUCACCAAGGCGACGAUCAGUAGCUGGUCUGAGAGGAUGAUCGGCCACAUUGGGACUGAGACACGGCCCAAACUCCUACGGGAGGCAGCAGUGGGGAAUCUUGCGCAAUGGGCGAAAGCCUGACGCAGCCAUGCCGCGUGAAUGAUGAAGGUCUUAGGAUUGUAAAAUUCUUUCACCGGGGACGAUAAUGACGGUACCCGGAGAAGAAGCCCCGGCUAACUUCGUG